RNAcentral lists this ribosomal RNA (257 nucleotides) under Nocardioides sp. ISO545_OTU559. Its description in RNAcentral is "partial 16S ribosomal RNA". It matches the Rfam family "Bacterial small subunit ribosomal RNA", at positions 29 to 289 of the family's 1533-position model. RNAcentral also lists the same sequence under 1 other name. Lineage: Bacteria; Bacillati; Actinomycetota; Actinomycetes; Propionibacteriales; Nocardioidaceae. The record is from RNAcentral.
ACGAACGCUGGCGGCGUGCUUAACACAUGCAAGUCGAGCGGAAAGGCCCUUCGGGGUACUCGAGCGGCGAACGGGUGAGUAACACGUGAGUAAUCUGCCCUUGGCUUUGGGAUAACUACCGGAAACGGUGGCUAAUACCGGAUACGACAACCGUCUGCAUGGGCUGGUUGUGGAAAGUUUUUUCGGCCAGGGAUGUGCUCGCGGCCUAUCAGCUUGUUGGUGGGGUAAUGGCCUACCAAGGCUUCGACGGGUAGCCG